UACGGAAGGCAGCAGUGGGGAAUAUUGCACAAUGGGCGCAAGCCUGAUGCAGCCAUGCCGCGUGUAUGAAAAAGGCCUUCGGGUUGUAAAGUACUUUCAGUCGUGAGGAAGGUGUUAAGGUUAAUAACCUUAGCAAUUGACGUUAGCGACAGAAGAAGCACCGGCUAACUCCGUGCCAGCAGCCGCGGUAAUACGGAGGGUGCGAGCGUUAAUCGGAAUUACUGGGCGUAAAGGGCACGCAGGCGGUUAAUUAAGUUGGAUGUGAAAUCCCCGGGCUUAACCUGGGAAUGGCAUUCAAGACUGGUUAGCUAGAGUCUUGUAGAGGGGGUAGAAUUCCAUGUGUAGCGGUGAAAUGCGUAGAGAUGUGGAGGAAUACCGGUGGCGAAGGCGGCCCCUGGACAAAGACUGACGCUCAUGUGCGAAAGCUGGGGAGCGAAACAGGGAUUAGAUACC
RNAcentral lists this ribosomal RNA (453 nucleotides) under uncultured bacterium. RNAcentral describes it as "bacterial SSU rRNA". It matches the Rfam family "Bacterial small subunit ribosomal RNA", at positions 340 to 786 of the family's 1533-position model. The record is from RNAcentral.